AUACGUAGGGUGCAAGCGUUAAUCGGAAUUACUGGGCGUAAAGCGUGCGCAGGCGGUUUUGUAAGACAGUGGUGAAAUCCCCGGGCUCAACCUGGGAACUGCCAUUAUGACUGCAAGGCUGGAGUGCGGCAGAGGGGGAUGGAAUUCCGCGUGUAGCAGUGAAAUGCGUAGAUAUGCGGAGGAACACCGAUGGCGAAGGCAAUCCCCUGGGCCUGCACUGACGCUCAUGCACGAAAGCGUGGGGAGCAAACAGGAUUAGAUACCCUGGUAGUCCACGCCCUAAACGAUGUCAACUGGUUGUUGGGGAUUUAUUUUCUCAGUAACGAAGCUAACGCGUGAAGUUGACCGCCUGGGGAGUACGGCCGCAAGGUUAAAACUCAAAUGAAUUGACGGGG
Molecule: ribosomal RNA, 395 nt
Filed under: uncultured bacterium
Lineage: Bacteria
Description: partial 16S ribosomal RNA
Rfam family: Bacterial small subunit ribosomal RNA
Source: RNAcentral